Cyprinus carpio (common carp) is the source of this 426-nucleotide long non-coding RNA. RefSeq lists it as uncharacterized. The transcript has 3 exons. The record is from RefSeq and is a predicted model, not a curated record. Lineage: Eukaryota; Metazoa; Chordata; Actinopteri; Cypriniformes; Cyprinidae.
GGAAGAAAGCAACCCUGAUUGCUGUGUGUGUGUUUGCAACCUGAAGCAUCUCACACCUGACUUCACAGCAUGUCUGAGGGGAAUCGCGGAAGAACUCCUGAACACGGAAAAUAUAACACGUGCAGGCGUUAACAGUUUCAGAAUAGAAUUAAGGUGGGAAAAACUACUCUCAGCGUGAUCAGUCAUCAGAAAUCCCUCUCUCCGUGUGUGUCAGUGUGUGAUGAUGGAGAGCAUCAGUGUGACGUGUGCAGAGGUUCAGAGCUCAGGCGGGUUUGAGCUGAGAGUUCCUGCUGACAGACUCACUCUCUUCAGUCAGUCUGACUGUGAACCGCUCUGGUACUCACAGGAUGAUCGUCUGAUAGCAGAUCCAUCAGCUCCUCAAACACUGAUUGAUUCUGUUAUUUCUGUCUCUUCUGAUCGUCUCGU